Molecule: regulatory RNA element, 102 nt
Rfam family: Purine riboswitch aptamer
About the family: Riboswitches are metabolite binding domains within certain messenger RNAs that serve as precision sensors for their corresponding targets. Allosteric rearrangement of mRNA structure is mediated by ligand binding, and this results in modulation of gene expression.
Source: Rfam
CACAUCUAUAUAUAAUUCCUUCAUAUAUCCUCGAUGAUAUGGUUCGAGAGUCUCUACCGGGUCGCCUUAAAUGAUCUGACUAUGAAGGCAGAUAAGUCUUUG